GACGAAUAGUUUUUGGCAUCGAAUCGAGACAAGGUCUGCUGCUCAAAUCAGUCGUCCGGCCGCCACCGCAUCGCCGCUCAUCUCUCGAAGCCUAGCGCGAUGGCGUCGAGAAGGGUUGCGAGCCUCCUCCGCCGUUUCGCCAUCUGCUCUGCGUCGCGGCAUCCCACUCCUAUCCACAGUCCUCUUCCGUUCUUGUUGCUCCCGCUUCCGUCGGCGACCGCUGACUCGCCUUCUCACCUCGGCCUCUCCCCCCCGAACCCUUUCUUCUCCUCUCGACUGUUCUCCUCCGCUUCAGGUCCGUCAAACAUUGUUCUUAUUCAGUCUGGGGAUCAGCUCACUGACGCGCUGAAGAAGGCCCAGGAUGAUAAAGUGCCAGCCAUCUUUUACUUCACGGCUGUGUGGUGCGGACCUUGCAGGGUUAUAGCCCCAUUUAUUGAGGAAAUGAGCCACAAAUUUUCGCAUGUCACAACGUACAAGGUUGACAUUGAUCAGGAGGGCCUUGGAAGUAUACUGAGCAGUCUGCAGAUUCACUCUGUGGUAUGUGUGAUACAGAACCAUCUAAAAAUAAGAAACGCGUGUCAAGUCAAAAUUCUUAUUUUCCAUAUAUUGUUAUAUUUUGUCAUGACGAUUUUGGCAGAUAUUUCUUCUUCAUGAUUCAUUGUAUUUAAUUAUUUUGAAAUAUACAUUGGAAGAGGAUAAAGUAAGUGGUAUAGAAAUAAAAGCUCUUUGUUUUGUGCAAACUAGGCAUUUUAUCUAUAGAUGGAACUACCAGAUGUAUUUCGCCGUGAAAUUGUUGGUCUGUGAUGCAUAUAAAAACUAAAUUUGCGCCCUUCGAAAUGGCAUUCUCUUUGUUAUCAAAUGCUGUUGAAGUUGACAUUUUAGGAUUAGCCAUGGUGGCAUUGUUGGCAAUUUCAGCUGAUUGUCCGAAGAGAUAAUUGUUGAAUCUGUGCCUAACCCGAAGUGGGCCUAAUGAUUUUAAUGAAAACAAAUUUUGUAGUGUUAUCAUAGGUAGCUAGUUCUCCAAUCUAUGUUAAAAAAAAUUCCCUCAGAUGUUGAUGUGACCUGCUUAUGUUGCUCCCAAGAAGUGCAUAUCUAGUUUUCUGUUAUCCAAGCACCAGUUUUGUGCUUGUAACAAUUCCUUAAUUUGGCACCUUUUUAUUUAUCAGUUAUCAUUACAAAUUUGUUUCUAACAAGUCUUUUUAAUAUGGCAUGCCUAUAUUAAGCUAAUCGGUAUUAUAUUUAUGUUCUAACAACUCUUACACAUGCUUGCUUUUUUUUGUUUUCCUUUCUUGAUUACAAUGCUAAUUAGAGAGAAUGUUUCUUCGAUUAUGUGACAAUCAGCGAUUGAGCAAUUAUAUAUGCAUAUCAUGUCAAUCUUCUGUCAAAGAUCUUAUAAAUAUUUAUUAUUUUGCUCAUAUGUUACAAUGUAUGAACUUUUAUGCACAGAUUGUUUACUAGCUUAUACCUUUCCACUCAAGUAAACUCGGUUAUCAUGUAAGAUAGAUGCCUAGAUGGAGCUACCUCUAGUCAAAUCUUUAAUAUAAGCAUGAGGGUGGGCGCAUGACAUCUUUGACGUAAUGACCAGGGGUUUACCUCACCAUGCACCUAACGCCUGUGUACUAGUAUUUACCUCACCUUCAUAUCUGUGGAGUCGACACUAGGAGGCCAUUAAGGUAGCGAAUCUACCCUUUUUUAAUAUAAGCAUGACCAGGAGUUGAUUCUCGAGAAUUGACGGCUUGUGGUCACCCCAUCAUGCGUCUAACACCUGUGUAUCUACAUUUUCCUCCCUCCAUAUUCGUAGGGUCAGCACUAGGGGGACCGUUAAGGUAACAGAUCUACCUUUUUUUAAUGCAAGUAUGUUCGUCCUCAUGGGAUGUCUAGUUGGCUAGAGGGUGGUAGAUUUACUAUAAAGAGACAAGGUCAAUUCUCGAUGGGCGCAUCCCCUCAGGGAAAAAUUUCUUCCAUCCCCUAGCUACUUUGCGGUCGGCUGGCUAUAAGCUGACCUCGUAACCUAGGAAGAUUUCUUGAGUGAGUGUAAUCAUCUUUUUGCUAUAAUUUAAUAUAAGCAUGAAUGCAUUAAUUUUAGAAUAAAGCUCUAUGCAAAUAAAUGCUAUAGUUUUGUUUUUUUUACAGUAAGAGUUUGUUCUCAGUAAGUAGACAUCUCCCUCCCUCUGGAUUCUCUCAGAAGAGGUGGUUUUGUCGCAUGUACUCUGUGCAUUGAAUAUUUUCUUAAUUAACAUGCCGUUUCUAAGUUAAUGUUGUCAUGCCGUUUGCCUUUCUUAAUUAAUGCAGCCAACCUUUCAAUUUUUCCACAAUGGCAAAAAGGCUACCGAAGUUGUCGGUGCUGAUAAGAAACAACUCGAGGAGACAUUUAAAAGCUUGUACAAGCAGGAAUAAGACGGCGACGCUGAAGAAUUGUAUUUUGCUGCCUAUGAAACUAAUAAUAACAACGCUUUUCUGUAAUGGAAGAAUUAGAUUCGAGCGUUGAUUUCUCAUGGUGUCAUUCGAAAGUGUCUAACUUUGUACUUCCAUUUAUUUAUUAAAAGUGAAAUCUGCUCCCCCUA
RNA transcript from Zingiber officinale, 2564 nucleotides. It is a transcript of the gene named thioredoxin O, mitochondrial-like, with no coding region annotated. The record is from RefSeq and is a predicted model, not a curated record. The transcript has 6 exons. NCBI's taxonomy places the organism in Eukaryota, Viridiplantae, Streptophyta, Magnoliopsida, Zingiberales, Zingiberaceae.